UACGUAGGUGGCAAGCGUUGUCCGGAAUUAUUGGGCGUAAAGCGCGCGCAGGCGGUCCUUUAAGUCUGGUGUGAAAGCCCACGGCUCAACCGUGGAGGGUCAUUGGAAACUGGGGGGACUUGAGUACAGAAGAGAAGAGUGGAAUUCCACGUGUAGCGGUGAAAUGCGUAGAGAUGUGGAGGAACACCAGUGGCGAAGGCGACUCUUUGGUCUGUAACUGACGCUGAGGCGCGAAAGCGUGGGGAGCAAACAGG
This 254-nucleotide ribosomal RNA is filed under the name uncultured bacterium. RNAcentral describes it as "partial 16S ribosomal RNA". It matches the Rfam family "Bacterial small subunit ribosomal RNA", at positions 524 to 776 of the family's 1533-position model. The record is from RNAcentral.